AAUUUUUUGGCAUAGUGGUUAUAUAACUUUCAGGCAACAUUGUCUGUAGUUACCUGCAAUAAAUUUAAAUAUGAAUAAACAAGUCAUUGUGGUAAGGGUUGAGUUAUUCAAUAACCUUGGGUACAAGAUAUAAAUCCCUGUCUACCAGCGGUGCGCAUGACUGGAUUGCAUGAUGCUCGUCUUUUUCAGUAACUGCAUCGUCGCGUAAACGCAAGGCCAGUUCAUGCGGAUGUGCCAUCGGUUCAAUCCCGUCAGUAUUGA
This 261-nucleotide transfer RNA is filed under the name Snodgrassella alvi SCGC AB-598-P14. Its description in RNAcentral is "tRNA-Leu". Lineage: Bacteria; Pseudomonadati; Pseudomonadota; Betaproteobacteria; Neisseriales; Neisseriaceae. The record is from RNAcentral.